GAUGAACGCUGGCGGCGUGCCUAAUACAUGCGAGUCGAGCGAACAGACGAGGAGCUUGCUCCUCUGACGUUAGCGGCGGACGGGUGAGUAACACGUGGAUAACCUACCUAUAAGACUGGGAUAACUUCGAGAAACCGGAGCUAAUACUGGAUAAUAUAUUGAACCGCAUGGUUCAAUAGUGAAAGACGGUUUUGCUGUCACUUCUCGAUGGAUCCGCGCCGCAUUAGCGAGUUGGUAAAGUAACGGCUUACCAAGGCGACGAUGCGUAGCCGACCUGAGAGGGUGGUCGGCCACACUGGAACUGCGACACGGUCCAGACUCCGACGGGAGGCAGCCGUAGGCAAUCUUCCGCAGUGGGCGAUAGCCUGACGGAGCAACGCCGCGUGAGUGAUGAAGGUCUUCGGAUCGUGAAACUCUGUUAUUAGGGAAGAACAAAUGUGUAAGUAACUACGCACGUCUUGACGGUACCUAAACAGAAAGCCCCGGCUAACUACGUG
Molecule: ribosomal RNA, 497 nt
Filed under: uncultured bacterium
Lineage: Bacteria
Description: partial 16S ribosomal RNA
Rfam family: Bacterial small subunit ribosomal RNA
Source: RNAcentral